GCAGUCGAGCGGUAAGGCUCCUUCGGGAGUACACGAGCGGCGAACGGGUGAGUAACACGUGAGCAAUCUGCCCUUCUCAUCGGAAUAACCAUUGGAAACGAUGGCUAAUGCCGAAUAUGACUUCGGACCACAUGGUCUGAAGUGGAAAGCUCCGGCGGAGAAGGAUGAGCUCGCGGCCUAUCAGCUUGUUGGUGAGGUAAUAGCUCACCAAGGCGAUGACGGGUAGCCGGCCUGAGAGGGUGACCGGCCACACUGGGACUGAGACACGGCCCAGACUCCUACGGGAGGCAGCAGUGGGGAAUAUUGGACAAUGGGCGAAAGCCUGAUCCAGCAACGCCGCGUGAGGGAUGACGGCCUUCGGGUUGUAAACCUCUUUCAGCAGGGACGAAGCGAAAGUGACGGUACCUGCAGAAGAAGGACCGGCCAACUACGUGCCAGCAGCCGCGGUAAUACGUAGGGUCCGAGCGUUGUCCGGAAUUAUUGGGCGUAAAGGGCUCGUAGGCGGUCUGUCGCGUCGGGAGUGAAAACUCAGGGCUCAACCCUGAGCGUGCUUCCGAUACGGGCAGACUAGAGGUAUUCAGGGGAGAACGGAAUUCCUGGUGUAGCGGUGGAAUGCGCAGAUAUCAGGAGGAACACCGGUGGCGAAGGCGGUUCUCUGGGAAUUACCUGACGCUGAGGAGCGAAAGCAUGGGGAGCGAACAGGAUUAGAUACCCUGGUAGUCCAUGCCGUAAACGUUGGGCGCUAGGUGUGGGGACCUUCCACGGUCUCCGUGCCGCAGCUAACGCAUUAAGCGCCCCGCCUGGGGAGUACGGCCGCAAGGCUAAAACUCAA
RNAcentral lists this ribosomal RNA (832 nucleotides) under Actinomycetales bacterium 27-6PB. RNAcentral describes it as "bacterial SSU rRNA". It matches the Rfam family "Bacterial small subunit ribosomal RNA", at positions 57 to 904 of the family's 1533-position model. Lineage: Bacteria; Bacillati; Actinomycetota; Actinomycetes; Actinomycetales. The record is from RNAcentral.